RNAcentral lists this ribosomal RNA (796 nucleotides) under uncultured bacterium. Its description in RNAcentral is "bacterial SSU rRNA". It matches the Rfam family "Bacterial small subunit ribosomal RNA", at positions 8 to 796 of the family's 1533-position model. The record is from RNAcentral.
AGAGUUUGAUCAUGGCUCAGAACGAACGCUGGCGGCGCGCCUAAUACAUGCAAGUCGAGCGAGAAGACGUAGCAAUACGUUUGUAAAGCGGCGAACGGGUGAGGAAUACAUGGGUAACCUACCCUCGAGUGGGGAAUAACUAGCCGAAAGGUUAGCUAAUACCGCGUACGCUUCUUGGACUUCGGUUCAGGGAGGAAAGCGAUACCGUGGGUAUCGCGCUCUUGGAUGGGCUCAUGUCCUAUCAGCUUGUUGGUGAGGUAACGGCUCACCAAGGCUUCGACGGGUAGCUGGUCUGAGAGGACGAUCAGCCACACUGGCACUGCGACACGGGCCAGACUCCUACGGGAGGCAGCAGUAAGGAAUAUUGCGCAAUGGGCGAAAGCCUGACGCAGCGACGCCGCGUGGGGGAUGAAGGUCUUCGGAUUGUAAACCCCUUUCGGGAGGGAAGAUGGAAUGGGGUAACCCAUUCGGACGGUACCUCCAGAAGCAGCCACGGCUAACUUCGUGCCAGCAGCCGCGGUAAUACGAAGGUGGCAAGCGUUGUUCGGAUUUACUGGGCGUACAGGGAGCGUAGGCGGUUCGGUAAGCCCUCUGUGAAAUCUCCAGGCUUAACCUGGAACAGUCGGAGGGGACUGCCGGGCUAGAGGACGGGAGAGGAGCGCGGAAUUCCCGGUGUAGCGGUGAAAUGCGUAGAGAUCGGGAGGAAGGCCGGUGGCGAAGGCGGCGCUCUGGAACGUUUCUGACGCUGAGGCUCGAAAGCGUGGGGAGCAAACAGGAUUAGAUACCCUAGUAGUCC